This 490-nucleotide ribosomal RNA is filed under the name uncultured bacterium. RNAcentral's name for it is "partial 16S ribosomal RNA". It matches the Rfam family "Bacterial small subunit ribosomal RNA", at positions 30 to 507 of the family's 1533-position model. The record is from RNAcentral.
AUUGAACGCUGGCGGCAGGCCUAACACAUGCAAGUCGAACGGUAACAGGAAGAAGCUUGCUUCUUUGCUGACGAGUGGCGGACGGGUGAGUAAUGUCUGGGAAACUGCCUGAUGGAGGGGGAUAACUACUGGAAACGGUAGCUAAUACCGCAUAACGUCGCAAGACCAAAAAGGGGGACCUUCGGGCCUCUUGCCAUCGGAUGUGCCCAGAUGGGAUUAGCUAGUAGGUGAGGUAACGGCUCACCUAGGCGACGAUCCCUAGCUGGUCUGAGAGGAUGACCAGCCACACUGGAACUGAGACACGGUCCAGACUCCUACGGGAGGCAGCAGUGGGGAAUAUUGCACAAUGGGCGCAAGCCUGAUGCAGCCAUGCCGCGUGUAUGAAGAAGGCCUUCGGGUUGUAAAGUACUUUCAGCGGGGAGGAAGGGAGGAAAGUUAAUACCUUUGCUCAUUGACGUUACCCGCAGAAGAAGCACCGGCUAACUCCGUG